This 502-nucleotide ribosomal RNA is filed under the name uncultured bacterium. RNAcentral describes it as "partial 16S ribosomal RNA". It matches the Rfam family "Bacterial small subunit ribosomal RNA", at positions 28 to 507 of the family's 1533-position model. The record is from RNAcentral.
GACGAACGCUGGCGGCGUGCUUAACACAUGCAAGUCGAACGGUGAAGGGGUCUGCUUUUGUGGGCCCUGGAUGAGUGGCGAACGGGUGAGUAACACGUGAGUAACCUGCCCCCUUCUUCUGGAUAACCGCAUGAAAGUGUGGCUAAUACGGGAUAUUCUGGGUCUGUCGCAUGAUGGGUCUGGGAAAGAUUGCGCCUUUGGGUGUUUUUGGUGGGGGAUGGGCUCGCGGCCUAUCAGCUUGUUGGUGGGGUGAUGGCCUACCAAGGCGGUGACGGGUAGCCGGCCUGAGAGGGUGGACGGUCACACUGGGACUGAGACACGGCCCAGACUCCUACGGGAGGCAGCAGUGGGGAAUAUUGCACAGUGGGCGCAAGCCUGAUGCAGCGACGCCGCGUGAGGGAUGGAGGCCUUCGGGUUGUAAACCUCUUUCGCCAGUGAAGCAGGCCUGCUCCUUGUGGGUGGGUUGACGGUAGCUGGAUAAGAAGCGCCGGCUAACUACGUG